AUUGAACGCUGGCGGCAGGCCUAACACAUGCAAGUCGAGCGAGCGGCGGACGGGUGAGUAAUGUAUGGGGACUGCCCGAUAGAGGGGGAUAACUACUGGAAACGGUGGCUAAUACCGCAUACUAUCGGAUAACCCAUAUGGGAUUAGCUAGUAGGUGGGGUAAAGGCUCACCAAGGCGAAGAUCUCUAGCUGUGCUGAAAGGAUGAUCGGCCACACUGGGACGAGGACACGGCCCGGACUCCUAGGGAGGCAGCAGGGGGGAACAUUGUACAAUGGGCGAAUGCCUGAGGAAGCCAUGCCGGGGGUAUGAAGAAGGCCUUAGGGUUGUAAAGUACUUUCAGCGGGGAGGCGUUACCCGCAGAAGAAGCACCGGCUAACUCCGUGCCAGCAGCCGCGGUAAUAC
This 403-nucleotide ribosomal RNA is filed under the name uncultured bacterium. RNAcentral's name for it is "partial 16S ribosomal RNA". It matches the Rfam family "Bacterial small subunit ribosomal RNA", at positions 29 to 526 of the family's 1533-position model. The record is from RNAcentral.